RNAcentral lists this ribosomal RNA (450 nucleotides) under uncultured bacterium. RNAcentral's name for it is "partial 16S ribosomal RNA". It matches the Rfam family "Bacterial small subunit ribosomal RNA", at positions 354 to 796 of the family's 1533-position model. The record is from RNAcentral.
GUGGGGAAUUUUGGACAAUGGGCGCAAGCCUGAUCCAGCAAUGCCGCGUGCAGGAAGAAGGCCUUCGGGUUGUAAACUGCUUUUGUACGGAACGAAACGGUCCUGGCUAAUACCCGGGGCUAAUGACGGUACCGUAAGAAUAAGCACCGGCUAACUACGUGCCAGCAGCCGCGGUAAUACGUAGGGUGCGAGCGUUAAUCGGAAUUACUGGGCGUAAAGCGUGCGCAGGCGGUGCUGUAAGACAGGCGUGAAAUCCCCGGGCUUAACCUGGGAAUUGCGGUUGUGACUGCAGUGCUGGAGUGCGGCAGAGGGGGAUGGAAUUCCGCGUGUAGCAGUGAAAUGCGUAGAUAUGCGGAGGAACACCGAUGGCGAAGGCAAUCCCCUGGGCCUGCACUGACGCUCAUGCACGAAAGCGUGGGGAGCAAACAGGAUUAGAAACCCUUGUAGUCC